This 228-nucleotide long non-coding RNA is filed under the name Vitis vinifera (wine grape). Its description in RNAcentral is "long non-coding RNA (VVIN_LNC004446)". The record is from RNAcentral. Lineage: Eukaryota; Viridiplantae; Streptophyta; Magnoliopsida; Vitales; Vitaceae.
AUAUUUGCGGUAAUUUUAUUGUGAAAAAUUAGUUAUUUUCAAAUAUUGGGAAUUAUUAGAGUUUUUGAAAAAUUCUGAAAUUGUGAUAUAAAUUCAAGUAUAUUAAUGUUUGAAUUUCCGAAAUUUUGUUGGUAUAUUUUCGGGAAUUUUAAUGUGAAAAUUUUAUUUUAUUGGGUUAUUGAGAAUGUUGAAAUUAUUGGAAUUGUAGAAAUUAUUAAGGAAUUUUGG